UACGUAGGCAGCGAGCGUUGUUCGGAAUUACUGGGCGUAAAGAGUGUGUAGGCGGUGCUCCAAGUCUGGUGUGAAAUCUCCCGGCUUAACUGGGAGGGUGCGCCGGAAACUGGAGUGCUAGAGGGUGGGAGAGGUAAGCGGAAUUCCUGGUGUAGCGGUGAAGUGCGUAGAUAUCAGGAGGAACACCGGUGGUGUAGACGGCUUUCUGGACCGUAACUGACGCUGAGACACGAAAGCGUGGGUAGCAAACAGG
RNAcentral lists this ribosomal RNA (253 nucleotides) under uncultured bacterium. Its description in RNAcentral is "partial 16S ribosomal RNA". It matches the Rfam family "Bacterial small subunit ribosomal RNA", at positions 524 to 776 of the family's 1533-position model. The record is from RNAcentral.